UACGUAGGGGGCAAGCGUUGUUCGGAAUUACUGGGCGUAAAGGGCGCGUAGGCGGCAUGGCAAGUCGGGAGUGAAAGCCCGGGGCUCAACCCCGGAACGGCUUUCGAAACUGCCAAGCUAGAGUACGGAAGGGGCAACUGGAAUUCCCAGUGUAGCGGUGAAAUGCGUAGAUAUUGGGAAGAACACCGGAGGCGAAGGCGGGUUGCUGGGCCGAUACUGACGCUGAGGCGCGAAAGCCAGGGGAGCAAACAGG
RNAcentral lists this ribosomal RNA (253 nucleotides) under uncultured bacterium. RNAcentral describes it as "partial 16S ribosomal RNA". It matches the Rfam family "Bacterial small subunit ribosomal RNA", at positions 524 to 776 of the family's 1533-position model. The record is from RNAcentral.